CGGAGGGCGCGAGCGUUGUCCGGAAUCACUGGGCGUAAAGGGCGCGUAGGCGGCUCGAUAAGGCUUGCGUGAAAGUCCGGGGCUCAACCCCGGAUCGGCGCGGGCGGACUGUUGGGCGUGGAGCACGGUAGGGGCGAGACGGAAUUCCGGGUGGUAGCGGUGGAAUGCGUAGAGAUCCGGAAGAACACCGGUGGCGAAGGCGGUCUGCUGGGCCGGAAGGGGGCGAGAGCAAUCUGUCCCCGUGCUGACGCUGAGGCGCGACAGCGUGGGGAGCAAACAGGAUUAGAUACCCUGGUAGUCCACGCCGUAAACGAUGGGCACUAGGUGCCCGGGGGAGCGACCCUCCGGGUGCCGGCGCUAACGCAUUAAGUGCCCCGCCUGGGGAGUACGGCCGCAAGGCUG
RNAcentral lists this ribosomal RNA (402 nucleotides) under uncultured organism. RNAcentral's name for it is "bacterial SSU rRNA". It matches the Rfam family "Bacterial small subunit ribosomal RNA", at positions 526 to 896 of the family's 1533-position model. The record is from RNAcentral.